CCUACGGGGUGCAGCAGUGGGGAAUAUUGGGCAAUGGGCGCAAGCCUGACCCAGCAAUGCCGCGUGAAGGAAGAAGGCUUUUGGGUUGUAAACUUCUUUGACAGGGGAAGAGCAGAAGACGGUACCCUGAAAACAAGCCACGGCUAACUACGUGCCAGCAGCCGCGGUAAUACGUAGGUGGCAAGCGUUGUCCGGAUUUACUGGGUGUAAAGGGCGUGUAGCCGGGAAGGCAAGUCAGAUGUGAAAUCUGGAGGCUCAACCUCCAAAUUGCAUUUGAAACUGUUUUUCUUGAGUACUGGAGAGGCAGACGGAAUUCCUUGGGUAGCGGUGAAAUGCGUAGAUAUAAGGAGGAACACCAGUGGCGAAGGCGGUCUGCUGGACAGCAACUGACGGUGAGGCGCGAAAGCGUGGGGAGCAAACAGGAUUAGAUACCAUUGUAGUC
RNAcentral lists this ribosomal RNA (442 nucleotides) under uncultured bacterium. RNAcentral's name for it is "partial 16S ribosomal RNA". It matches the Rfam family "Bacterial small subunit ribosomal RNA", at positions 338 to 795 of the family's 1533-position model. The record is from RNAcentral.